RNAcentral lists this ribosomal RNA (481 nucleotides) under uncultured bacterium. RNAcentral describes it as "partial 16S ribosomal RNA". It matches the Rfam family "Bacterial small subunit ribosomal RNA", at positions 28 to 523 of the family's 1533-position model. The record is from RNAcentral.
GACGAACGCUGGCGGCGUGCUUAACACAUGCAAGUCGAGCGGUAAGGCUCCUUCGGGAGUACACGAGCGGCGAACGGGUGAGUAACACGUGAGCAAUCUGCCCUUCACACGGGGAUAACCCUCGGAAACGAGAGCUAAUACCCGAUACGACCACUUCAGGCAUCUGAUGGUGGUGGAAGGUUCCGGCGGUGAAGGUUGAGCUCGCGGCCUAUCAGUUUGUUGGUGGGGACACGGCCGACCAAGGCAACGACGGGUAGCCGGCCUGAGAGGGUGACCGGCCAUACUGGGACUGAGACACGGCCCAGACUCCUACGGGAGGCAGCAGUGGGGAAUAUUGGACAAUGGGCGAAAGCCUGAUCCAGCAACGCCGCGUGAGGGAUGACGGCCUUCGGGUUGUAAACCUCUUUCAGCAGGGACGAAGCGCAAGUGACGGUACCUGCAGAAGAAGCACCGGCCAACUACGUGCCAGCCGCCGCCGUAA